RNAcentral lists this ribosomal RNA (377 nucleotides) under bacterium enrichment culture DGGE gel band MRS14. Its description in RNAcentral is "bacterial SSU rRNA". It matches the Rfam family "Bacterial small subunit ribosomal RNA", at positions 963 to 1340 of the family's 1533-position model. The record is from RNAcentral.
GAAGAACCUUACCUGGUCUUGACAUCCACAGAACUUUUCAGAGAUGGGAAGGUGCCUUCGGGAACCGUGAGACAGGUGCUGCAUGGCUGUCGUCAGCUUGUGUUGUGAAAUGUUGGGUUAAGUCCCGCAACGAGCGCAACCCUUAUCCUUUGUUGCCAGCGGUCCGGCCGGGAACUCAAAGGAGACUGCCAGUGAUAAACUGGAGGAAGGUGGGGAUGACGUCAAGUCAUCAUGGCCCUUACGACCAGGGCUACACACGUGCUACAAUGGCGCAUACAAAGAGAAGCGACCUCGCGAGAGCAAGCGGACCUCAUAAAGUGCGUCGUAGUCCGGAUUGGAGUCUGCAACUCGACUCCAUGAAGUCGGAAUCGCUAGUA